UUCACUCUACUCCAAUGGAAAGACCGGUCCAUUGAGUAGCACUUCCCUUAACCAAUAUACGUCCAAUGGGAAUGGUGUACCAGUGUCUAAGAAUCGGAAUGCUCGUCCUCAUCACCAGUUCACGGUACGUUACAUGUUUUAAUUACAUGUGAAAAUUAGAAAGUGUUGGUAGUCAUUAAUGUUCUUAAACCAUGAUAUGUCUAAUUCUAGUUAAAAAAGGUAAGGUGGGUGUAGUCGGAAAUUAUUCAAAUUAGAAGUCUCAAGGCUGCCAUGACUGAAUAACUGAUUGCAAUCUUGUUGUGGGGCAUUUUUCAUUGAAUCAUUUUUACUUUUGCUUAUUUAGGGCAUUGCUAAGGGUUUAGUAGGUGUUUUUUUUUUUAAUGUAUAUUAAAGUUUUUAUGAGAAAUUUGUGUCAUCUGUUCAAAAUUUGUCAAGCCAAGUUCCUUGGUUUUGGGUUCCCUCCGUUUUCAUGUUACUAGUCAUCAUUCCAUGUUUCUGAACACUAAGAAUUUGUAAUGUCUUCUCUCCAGGGGUAUAACAAUCCAAGGCCAUUAUCUGGUCUUAAUUCAGGGAAUGGCUAUGUGAACAGGAUGUAUUCAAACAAGUUGUACAACCAGAAUGGUAUCUCUUACAGAUCUGGUUUUUAUGGGUCUAAUGUUUUUGAUUCCCGGACUAUGGAAAGUGGGUGGUUCUCUGUUGAUAACAAGUACAAACCCAGGGGACGAGGCAAUGGUUCUGCGAAUUACGGAAAUGGGAAUGUUGACGGAUUAAAUGAACUGAACAGGGGCCCAAGAGCAAAGAGCUUUAAGAAUCAAAAAGGUGCUGUUCCUGCUGCUGUAGCUGUAAACGGACAGGACAACCUUGUCACUGGGACUAAUGGAAGUACUGAGGACAGUAGGGUGGAUAAAGAGAACGGACAAUACAACAGAGCUGAUUUUCCUAUAACAUAUGCUGAUGCCAAGUUUUUUAUUAUAAAGUCUUACAGUGAAGACGAUGUUCAUAAGAGUGUCAAGUACAAUGUGUGGUCAAGUACACAAAAUGGAAACAAGAAGCUUGAUGCAGCGUACCAUGAAGCGCAGCAGAAUUCUGGCCACUGCCCCGUCUUUCUGCUUUUCUCGGUGAGCUCUCUGGAUACAAACUUACUUUUUACUGGAACAUGAAUUGUAUUCAUAUAUUUAUGUCAGUAUUCUUCUUCUGAAAUGUCCAGGUUAAUACUAGUGGACAAUUUCUUGGUGUUGCGGAGAUGUCAGGGCCAGUUGAUUUUGACAAGAAUCUUGAGUAUUGGCAACAAGACAAGUGGGUUGGCUGUUUCCCCGUAAAGUGGCACAUUGUGAAGGAUGUGCCUAACAGUGUGUUGAAGCACAUUACCCUUGAGAACAAUGAGAACAAACCUGUAACCAACAGCAGGGAUACCCAAGAGGUGGGUGGUUUUCAUAGUUCGUUUCUUUAUAUAUCUACUGUGGAAAUCGUACUCAUGGAAAUGAUUUAAUGUCUGCAGGUAAAAUUGGAGCAGGGACUUCAAUUGCUCAAAAUAUUUCAGGAUUAUACUAGUGAACGAACCCUGCUGGAUGAUUUUGAUUUCUACGAGGAGCGUCAAAAGAGGAUCCAGGAUAGAAAAUCUAAGCAACAGUUGAUUCAGAAACAGGUAUGACUUACAUAUUUACAUGUAUUUUAUAUUGAUAUCAUCUUUGAAGUCGGUCUUCUCUUAUAAAUUAUUAUUUUGAAAUGAAAAUAAAAAUUACUCAACUUCAUGCUCUGACCUCUUGACCUUGCAUAUGUUGUAUCCGCAGUUGGUGGAAGGAAAGCCUACUGAUGAAGCUACCAAAGAGGGCUCAAAUGUAGAAGUGACAACUGAAAAGUCGGUAGAUGUUCCUUCAAACUUAACAAAAAGUUCUACCCGGUCUGUUUUUGCUAUUGGGGAUGCAAAGGUUGAAAAUGUUGCAGCUGUUGAAGCUCAAGAGGUUAGUAAACCAGUAACAGUGACAGCGAAGGAAUUGGUGUCUAAUGGGGUUGCCAACGGUUGCUAAAUUUGCAAUGCACAGAGAUGGUCAGGCUACAUUGCUGAACUUAAGGUUACCCUUUGUAGUCUGGUGUCUUUGUAACCUUGUGAUUUUGCAACAUAUACAGUGCGCAAGUGGUCGGUGAAAGUUUGGUUUUUGUGUCGUAGGCAGACUUAUGAUAUAUCAUCAGUACUCAGUACAAGUCUCUUUUCUCUGUUAUUUUUCUUUUUUUAUAGAAAAGAUUUUGUCUUUGUGACGGAUCAGUUUGAUUCUAUUUUGGAGUUUUUUUUGUCUAGUCUCAGUGUGGUGCUGUUGCUUCUAUGACUUCUAUGUUUCAGAGUUUUUCAUUAAUGAGGGUUGUUAAGAGUAAAUUGAUUUAGUUAAUGCUGAACUGAUACUACCAGACUACCAGUACUUGAUUACUUUCCGAAGCCCUUAUUUAUGUAGGAUUGUGUGUCACAUUGCUAGAACAAUUUUACAUGAUGCCAACUUUUAGAGGCUGUUUAUUUAGGGGAAUUUCAGGCUAGUUAGAAGGAAUUAGAUAGUGAUGACUGUAGUUAGGUGGUUGUGUUAAAGGAAUGAGAAUUUGAGUCCAGUUAACAUGAGUCUUUUGCAUUCUAUUUUUCAUCUAUAUUUUCGUCAAAACCUUUCCCUGGCUUCUUCUGCAUCCAAUAUUUAGUGUCUGUUGAUCUUCUCAUGGUAUCUGUAAGUUCUAUCCGCAAGUUUUUGAGUUCAUCUCUGACAUUUAUAUUAUUGUUAGUAAAUAUCGUAUGUGUCUGAAGUUGUAUAUUUAUGUGCAAAAUUGUGUAUGUAUAUGUGUUUUCUGGUCAUGGUGUAUUGUUUCAUCUUAAAAUAUAUAUAGAGGGUAAUACAAAAUGAUAAAUGGUAAUCUGCAUUCCUCUAUUCAUGUGUACUAAAAAUUGUCUUGUUGAGUAAAAUAAGUUUUUGUGUAUGCCCAUCCGCCUAUUUGAUGAUAGUCCUUGAGAAGCCUUUUGCAGACAGAUAUAUUAAAUAUUUUUUUUUAAUUAAGUACUCUGUAGUCAAAUGUGACGAGUUAAUGCAUUAUGUUCUCUUUGCGAUGUCCCUGUUAUAAUGACAAUUCUGUUCUCAAAUGUCAAUCUUGACAGGGUCUUUUUUGUGUGUAUGUUGCUGGUUUAUAUUGUAGAGUCUUUAGAAGGGCAGGUAGAACCUUUUGCUAUUGUACCAAUGUGAAUUCUCUUAACAAUAUGAUAACAAGAAUGACCUGCUUUUGAAAAGAAGGCUGUUGCCAUUGAGAGAGGUUUAUUGCCUUAAUCUGCUAAUGCUAACUCAGGGACAUCAAUAGUAGGUCAGAAUUCAAUUGUGGAAGUUGCCAAUACAGUUGAACAAUGCAGCAGAACUUGUUUCCUAGUAUGUAAGUUGUGGACCGCUGAAGAAGAGGGAAGUCUCAAGGUUCCCCGGCUAGAUUUAUAUCUGCCUGAUGCUGUCGAGAGAGUGUUUGAAGAUAUGAUUUCGACUAUAGUUUUGAAUCUUUUGAUGAGUAGCAAUGAUUCAUAUGAGGCUGAUAAUAGGUGCAUGAUACUAUUGGAGUUUUUGCCGUCUUAUGUUUAUUCUUGUUGAUUUUAUGUUUAUUCUUGUUGAUUCGGGCCAAAAAAAAAAUGGUUUGUUCUUGUUGAGAGUGUAGUGUAAGAAGUGCAAGUUCAUGUAAGCUUCUGCUUUUUCAAAGCAGUUCCAAGUGCCUGGAUAGGCAGAUAUGUAUGCUAGCUUCUUUUUUUUUCUUUCCCCGGGUCGGGUUUCUGGUUUGCUGCUGGGAUGAAAUUCCUGGGUUCAGCUUAAUAUGUAUAAAAUGAACAUGUACUGAUCUCGCAAGCGACCAUAUGCCGAGAAGUUCCAGUAUUUUAAAAAUAUGCUAAUAAUCAUCUAAGAACCGAAGCUUCUGAGCAAAUGUAUGACCACUAAUAGGGUUCAAAAUGGGGCGGGACUUCAUUUCUCAACCUCGCCACAUAUAUAUCUUCGCUGCCCUGCCCUAUCCCCCGUGAGGAUAUAAUUUUUAUCUCUAUCCCACCAGGUUUUUCAUUUCUCAACCUCGCCACAUAUAUAUUUUCGCUGCCCUGCCCUAUCCCCCGCGAGGAUAUAAUUUUUAUCCCUAUCCCACCAGGUUUUUAAAAUAUUUUUGCGAAACGGCCUCGUCCUGCCUCGCUCUGCUCAUAUUUAUUUUAGAUAAUUGCUUAAAAUGAUAGUAAUUUUUUUGAGAAAUAAUAAAAAUAUACAAUACAUGUAUACUAGAAAUAUGUUCAUGUCACUUAGCCAAAAAAUAAAUAUAUUCAUGCAUGUUAAAUUAGAAUAACAAUAUAAUCAAGCAUAAUAAUUUUAAUAUAUAUAUAUAUAUAUAUAUAUGUAUGUAUGUAUAUAUGUAUGUAUGUAAAUGUAUGUAUGUAUAUAUGUAUGUAUGUAAAUGUAUGUAUGUAUAUAUAAAUCUAUUACAAAUAUUAUUUUUAAAUACAUAUAGUUUAAAAUUAUAUUUAUAUUGUCAUUCGUAAAUGUAUGUAUGUAUAUAUAAAUCUAUUACAAAUAUUAUUUUUAAAUACAUAUAGUUUAAAAUUAUAUUUAUAUUGUCAUUCAAAAGUAUAUUUUUUGAAUGUAUAAAUUACACAAACCACUCGAACCGUACCACACCGCACCGCAAUUUUUUGGUGUGGUUUACGUGGUUUUUAUAUUACAUGGUGUGGUUGCGGUUUACGAAUUUUCUCAAACCGUAUGAGCGGGUUGGUUCACGGUUUUUAAAAAAAACCGCACAGCCCGCACCUUGAACACCCCUAGCGUGAAUGGGAAAAAUGCCUUCAGAUCCACAAUUUAAAUACACAAUGCCCCAAAUGUCUCUGCCUAGGAAAAACGCCCACACUAUCACUUCAAAACACAACUUCAAGUUGCGUUUUACAUUUUUCAAUAAAACGCAACAUGAAGUCACGUUUUGGCGUUUUCUUUAUUUAAAUAAACAUAAACGUACACGAAAUUACGUUUUAAUGACUAGAAACGUAACACGAAAUUACGUUUUAGGUAUUUAUUUAUAAAAAUAUUUGAUAUGAUAAGUGAAAGUGAAAAACAAGGUCUUCAUAAGCAACCAUAAUGGCUGUUAGAGGGGUUCAAAAUUACGAUAGUAGAGUGUGGUUUAAGCGAGAUUGAGUUAACGGGUGGCGGAUUUACAUGGGAAAAGAGCAGAGGUACAAAAGAUUGGGUAAGGGAAAGAUUGGAUCGUGCUUUCGCUUCGUUUAGAUGGUGGCAAAUAUUCCCUCUGUGUAUUCUAGCUAUGCACCACACUAUCUACUCGGAUCACGACCCAAUUUAGUUGGAGCUGGUAGGUGAUACUCAUUCAAAAAAAAUAAUUCCGUUUUCGUUUUGAAAACACUUGGCUUAAGGAAAAGUCUUUUCACGAGGAGGUCUCAAUGUACUGGUCGAGAUUAGGCUCGAUUCACUUCUUACCAAAAAUCCUGGACCUCUCCUCAUUUAUGGAGAAAUGGAGUCGAAGGUUCUUUAACGAAUUCCGAGAGAAAAUUCGAAAACAAAAGGAAGUUUUGAGUUUAUUUGAAGGUUGUGAAAAUGACGAGCAGACAAAGAAAUACUUUGAGGAGAGAAGUAAAUCGGAGGACUUGUUAAUUCAUGAAGAAGCAUAUUGGAAACAACGAGCGAAGUCUUUUUCGUUAACGGAAGGUGACUCUAAUUCUAAAUUCUUUCACGCCUAUGCUACUACGAGGAAAUAAAGAAGUAAUAUUACUCAGUUAGUGAAUGAUGAUGGUGAGAUAAUGACUGAUCAAGAAGGUAUGUGUAGUGUGGUUAAGAACUACUUUGAACAACUAUUUGGUCAAGCAGGUAAUAGUCAAGAUGCGGGAAAUAUCAACACUGAAGUAGUAGUUUCAGAAGAGCUGAAUAACAGACUGACUGAGAAGUUCACGUUCGAGAAAUUUUCCACAGCUGUUAGACAAAUGCAACCUGAUAAAUGCAAGAUCUGACAGUCUCAAUCUGAACAUUCCAAAUGUGAUUAUUGAGUCCGAUUCAAUGCUUACUGUGCAGGCCAUUAAUAAGAACUCAGAAAAUUUGCUGGAGGUAAGAAAUGUGUUGCACGAAUGUUCCUCUCUUCUUAGCACUCAGCAGGACAUUAGCUUCUCGUUUGUUAGAAAGAAGGCCAAAAACGUAGCCCAUAUGCUAGCUAAGGUUCCGUGUGAGGUCAAUUGCUAUAAUGAAUUUUAUUCUCCUCCACAUUCUAUGUUGGAGACUCUCUUGUAUGAAGCAGCUUUGAAUUAAUAUAUUCCCCCAUUUUCAAAAAAAGGGAUUGAAGUUCCCAAAACCCUCGAGGCCCUAAACCCUCAAUCCCAAACACUAAUUAAUUCGAAGUUUUAGGGCCGUGAGGCCUAAAGCUUCGGAACAAAAUUAAAAAAUCAAUUUUAAAACAUACAUUAUUAGUUUUUAAUAUUUCAGGUUUCAUAUUUUGGCUUUAAGUUGAUUUAUUUAUACUUGAAAUUAAAAUAAUUUUAAAAUAUAAAAAAAUAUUAUUCAAAACACAACUUUAAGUUGCUUUCAGACUAUAAAACACAACUUAAACUUGCGUUCCGAGUAUUACUUUAUAAAAUAAAAAAACGACAAUCGAAGUCGCGUUUUGACUUAAAUACAAACCGAAGUUUCAAGUGAUAGUUAGCAACAUUUUUAGAGCGAUCUUGACAUAGAGGAUAUUUUCCCUCCUUUAUUUAUGGGGUUAAAUGUCAGAUUGGUCACUAUAGUGAAGGCCAUAUCUCACUUUAGUGACCCGACUUAACGGAGACUCACAUGCACCACUGUAGUAUUGGGUUAUCACAGAAACAUUAACUUUUUUAAUUACCCAGACGAAAAACAAAACGUGGUAGCCAUGACUUGGACAAGAUUGAUUAUGACCAUUUGACUGUCUUACGUGGCUAGAUACAACGGUAACUUGUCUGUGUGUAUAUAUAUCAGCCAGGGUUCUUAACAAAAACUGAAACAAAAAACAUAUCUUCUACAAGUUUGCUAAUAUGAAAACAUCUCCUACACCCAUUACACACUCUGGAACGAACUCUUUUUCUGGGGGGUCGGUGAAGAAGGAGGAGCACAGGACAUGCUUUUGUGGGAGACGAGCUAGAAUCUGCACUUCUUGGACUCUAAAAAAUCCGAGAAUACGGCUCUAUAAAUGUGCAACAUCUAAGGUAGUUUCUUACUUGUUUCUCACUAGUCCUUUUAUACUCUGGAUCACUAUCAUCACUAUAUUUGAACCAUCAAUUACUUCACCAAGAUCAAAAUGGUCUACAUAUAACUUUAUUCGACCAUAAGGCUUACAUAUAUUAAUCAAAUCCCUAACCAAAUUGUCAUCAUAAAUUACUCGCAUACUCUUUUCAAAGCUAUAUCCAUUACACGUAAAAUUGACUAGGGAGGAAGACACAUCAUAUGCAUAUUUUUCAGCAAACUCCUUAAGAUCACGAAAUGAAAAUGUAUCACAAUUGAAAUCUUUAAUUAUCUCAGUUUUGCCACCAACAUACUUAAUAUUAUGAGGAGGUGUAAAAUUACCGUGGUGAUGUAGGUAUAGAGUAGUUGUAGUAGACAUGUUGUAAACAAAUCGAACAUAUAUACAACCAUAUAUCAUAUAUCAAAGCAUUUACGCAAUUAAAGAGCAAAAAAACUAGGGUUUAUAGAUGUAAGAAAGGGGUGCAUACCUUCGAAUGGAGAGAGGUUAGAGCUCGCUUUGUCCACCGGUAUCAAAUUGAUUGCUUGAUUCAAUUACGAUUUAAUCCCCAAAUCGUACUUUUGAACCCUAAUUCGCCCCUAAUCACGACUACACUCGAACAUAAGAUUCUAAUAAUGUUAUUUCACUAAUAUAUUUUGGUAAUACAUUUAGACCCGGCUGAGUUGGACUCCGUAACUGCCACGUUUUAAAAAAAUGAAAGAAACGUUAGUUUAGCGAUGGUUCCCGUCAAGUCAACUAGUCAAACUAAGAUCCGUGUGAUAAUCUGUUACUACAGUGAUACAUGUGAGUUCUCAUUAAGUUGGGUCACUAAAGUGAGAGAUGGCUCUCACUUUAGUGACCAAUAUGAGAUUUAACCCUUUAUUUAUGUGCCACUCAGGUCAACACCCAGCGCGAACACCCCUGGUUUUAGAUAGAAAUCAAAAUCCCAAAAACCCAAUACAUCUCUCUCCGCCUCCGCUAUCCCAGUUUCUCUCUAGGGUUUUUCUCUUUCUAAAACCCUUUCGAUUCUCAGAUAUCUUACAUGGCUACUGGGUGUGCUCCUGCGGAGAGUAUGCAUCUCUACUCAUUUAUGUUUGUUUUCUUGUUGUGUAUAAGCUUUUAUGCUUGUGUAUACACUGUUCUUGAUGUGGGUUAUGUGCAGAUAAUAGAUACAGAUCUUUGUAUGUAUAAUCAUGUGCAAAGGUGGAUUCUUUCUUGUGUGAUCUGUUAGAAUAUAUGUUCUUUCACCUUCAGUUUCGUAGAUUUAUUUUUUGUUUGAUUAUCUUGUUUUGUCUUUUUCUGUUCUUGAUUCUUGUUGAAAAUUAUUGAUUUGUGUGAUGGAUAGUUGUGUAAUUGUUUUGAUUUUUUAAUUGGUGAUCUAGGGGUUUGUGUUUGAUUAAGGGUUUUUAGUUCUGAAUGUUGCACAUAUAGCUUUGUUGUUUUUCACGGUCUUUAUAUGCUGGUUUUGUAGAUGAUUUGCCUCUAAUUGUUAUAGAGGGUUUGUUCGCUUUUGUGCUUGUGUAUGGGUUUAUAGGUGUGGUUUUCGUGAAGGCUUCGCUUUCUUAAAAAAAAUUUGGUGUCCUCAGACAUGCUUCUUAUGCUCGUGAUUUGAAUUUGGAUUACAUGAAGUUGAUUGCUUUUUAAAUAUUUUUUGUUUAUAUACAUGUAAGCUAAAGUGUAGCUUACCUUUUGUGCAACAGAAGCUGCAGAUUUGCUCCAGAAGCUAUCACUGGAUCCUCAAGCUAAGACGGAAAAUUCACAGUCCACUAAGGUGUUUGCAAAUUGUAACAUUAGUGUUAGUACCUGUAGUCACAUAUGUGUUUUUAUCUCUGUGUCUAACCUUGUCUACUUACAGCCUAUUGUAGAUUCAGGUAAUGUGCCGAAUGGUCAGAUCCAAUCAUCUGAUCGGUCUUUGACACCGUUGUUACCUGAUCCCAUGGAUCCAACAAUGUGGUAUGCUAAUGGUUAUGCUCCAUAUUAUUACGGAGGUAAUUCUAUUAUUCUUAAUAUGAACUUUUUCUUAAAUGAUGAAGUGUUUAGAAUGGAAUAAAGCAUUUGCUUUUUUAAUACUUAUAUAAAGCAUUGGUAUACUCUGAAAAUCAGUUAAAAUAAUUUUUUUCUGGACAGGGUAUGAUGGGACUGGUAAUGGGUGGGAUGAUUACUCUAAUUACUUGAAGCCGGAUGGAGUCGAUAUGUCACAUGUAAGAUUUCAGUUCUGUCAUUUCAUAUUCUCUUUUAUUUUUAAGUAUCUUAGAACGUAAGUCUUCCUUUCCAUACCCAUUUUAUCUGCCAUAUCAUAAGAAUAGCCUAAACCGUACAAAGAAUUAUUACUUCUUAACUAACACAGGACAAACUUGUUCUAAUUUUUUGUUUGAUAUUCUAUAUCUCAAUUUUGCAUAUUAUUAGGGGGUGUAUGGUGGUUAUGGUUAUGCACCCUACGGUGCUUAUUCACCUGCGGGUACGCCUGUUCCUACACUUGGCCAUGAUGGUCAGCUUUAUGCAGCUCAACAGUACCAGUACCCGGCCUCUUAUUUUCAGCCUGCAGCUGCCCCUGCAAAAGGUGAUAUUUCAACCGCUGCACCCGCCGACCAACCAAUUUUGUCUAUUGAAACUCCUAAAGGGAAGCCUAAUGGCAUUGCAAAUAGUGGUGGUGUAAAAGGAAACAAAGGUUCAACAGCAUUGAAACCGACAUAUCAGAAUUCAUCUUAUAUUAGCUCAUCAUAUAAUGCAAAUAGCUCCAAUGGAACGGGUGUGUUCCCAGGAGGAGUUCCAGCUUCUGGAUAUGUUUAUGAUGCCUCACGAUCUUCUGUCCCUUGGUUUGAUGGUUCAGUCUACUCCAAUGGAAAGACCGGUCCAUUGAGUAGCACUUCCUUUAACCAAUAUACGUCCAAUGGGAAUGGUGUACCAGUGUCUAAGAAUCAGAAUGCUCGUCCUCAUCACCAGUUCACGGUACGUUACAUGUUUUAAUUACAUGUGAAAAUUAGAAAGUGUUGGGAGUCAUUAAUGUUCUCAAACCCUGAUACAUCUAAUUCUAGUUGAAAAAAGUAAGGAGGGUAACAAAAACUAAAGUAGGCGGAAAUUAUACAAAUUAAAAGUCAAGGCUUCUGCCCUGUGAUGAAUAACUGAUUGCGAUCUUGUUGUGGGGCGUUUUUCAUUUUUACUUUUGCUUAUUUAGGGCAUUGCUAAUGGUUUAUUAGGUGUUUUUUUUAUGUAUAUUAAAGUUUUAAUAGAAAUUUCUGUCUUAUGUGCAAAAUUUGUCAAGCAAAGUUCCUUGGUUUUGGGUUCCCUACGUUUUCAUGUUACUAGUCAUCAUUCCUGUGUUUCUGAACACUAAGAAUUUGUAAUGUCUUCUCUCCAGGGAUAUAACAAUCGAAGACCAUUAUCUGGUCUUAAUUCAGGGAAUGGUUAUGUGAACAGGAUGUAUUCGAACAAGUUCUACAACCAGAAUGGUAUCUCUUACAGAUCUGGUUUUUAUGGGUCUAAUGGUUAUGAUUCCCGGACUAUGGGAAGUGGGUGGUUCUCUGUUGAUAACAAGUACAAACCCAGGGGACGAGGCAAUGGUUGUGCGAAUUACGGAAAUGGGAAUGUUGACGGAUUAAAUGAACUGAACAGGGGCCCAAGAGCAAAGAGCUUCAAGAAUCAAAAAGGUGCUGUUCCUGCUUCUGUAGCUGUAAAGGGACAGGACAACCUUGUCACGGGGACCAAUGGAAGUACUGAGGACAGUAGGGUGGAUAAAGAGAACGGACAAUACAACAGAGCUGAUUUUCCUAUAACAUAUGCUGAUGCCAAGUUUUUCAUUAUAAAGUCUUACAGUGAAGACGAUGUUCAUAAGAGUGUCAAGUACAAUGUGUGGUCAAGUACACAAAAUGGAAACAAGAAGCUUGAUGCAGCGUACCAUGAAGCGCAGCAGAAUUCUGGCCACUGCCCCGUCUUUCUGCUUUUCUCAGUGAGCUCGCUGGAUACAAACUUACUUUUUACUGGAACAUGAAUUGUAUUCAUAUAUUUAUAUCAUUAUUCUUCUUCUGAAAUUUCCAGGUUAAUACUAGUGGACAAUUUGUUGGUGUUGCGGAGAUGUCAGGGCCAGUUGAUUUUGACAAGAUUCUUGAGUAUUGGCAACAAGACAAGUGGGUUGGCUGUUUCCCGGUAAAGUGGCACAUUGUGAAGGAUGUGCCUAACAGUUUGUUGAAGCACAUUACCCUUGAGAACAAUGAGAACAAACCUGUAACCAACAGCAGGGAUACCCAAGAGGUGGGUGGUUUUCGUAGUUCGUUUCUUCAUAUAUCUACUGUGGAAAUCGUACUCAUGGAAAUGAUUAAUGUGUGCAGGUAAAAUUGGAGCAGGGACUUCAAUUGCUCAAAAUAUUUCAGGAUUAUACCAGUGCGCAAUCCGUACUGGAUGAUUUUGAUUUCUACGAGGACCGUCAAAAGAAGAUCCAGGAUAGAAAAGCUAAGCAACAGUUGAUUCAGAAACAGGUAUGACCUACAUAUUUACAUGUAUUUCAUAUUGAUAUCAUUUUUUAAGUCGGUCUUCUCUUAUAAAUUAUUGUUUUGAAAAAAAUAAAAAUUACUCAAUGUCAUGCUCUCGCCUCUUGACUUUGCAUAUGUUGUAUCUGCAGUUGUCGGAAGGAAAGCCUACUGAUGAGUCUGCCAAAGAGGGCUCAAAUGUAGAAGUGACUACUGAGAAGUCGGUAGAUGUUCCUUCAAACUUAACAAAAAAUGCAACCCGGGCUGUUUUCGCUAAAGGGGAUGCAAAUGUGUUGGAAAAUGUUGCAACUGUUGAAGCUCAAGAGGUUAGUAAACCAGUAACAGUGACAGCAAAGGAAUUGGUGUCUAAUGGGGUUGCCAACGGUUGCUAAAUUUGCAAUGCACAGGGAUGGUCAGGCUACAUUACUGAAGUAAUUGCUGAACUUGCUGUUUCUAUAA
This 12125-nucleotide long non-coding RNA is filed under the name Daucus carota (carrot). RNAcentral's name for it is "long non-coding RNA (DCAR_LNC004767)". Lineage: Eukaryota; Viridiplantae; Streptophyta; Magnoliopsida; Apiales; Apiaceae. The record is from RNAcentral.